Molecule: ribosomal RNA, 427 nt
Filed under: uncultured bacterium
Lineage: Bacteria
Description: partial 16S ribosomal RNA
Rfam family: Bacterial small subunit ribosomal RNA
Source: RNAcentral
UGGGGAAUAUUGGACAAUGGGCGAAAGCCUGAUCCAGCCAUGCCGCGUGUGUGAAGAAGGUCUUCGGAUUGUAAAGCACUUUAAGUUGGGAGGAAGGGCAGUAAGUUAAUACCUUGCUGCUUUGACGUUACCGACAGAAUAAGCACCGGCUAACUCUGUGCCAGCAGCCGCGGGAAUACAGAGGGUGCAAGCGUUAAUCGGAAUUACUGGGCGUAAAUCGCGCGUAGGUGGUUUGUUAAGUUGGAUGUGAAAGCCCCGGGCUCAACCUGGGAACUGCAUCCAAAACUGGCAAGCUAGAGUACGGUAGAGGGUGGUGGAAUUUCCUGUGUAGCGGUGAAAUGCGUAGAUAUAGGAAGGAACACCAGUGGCGAAGGCGACCACCUGGACUGAUACUGACACUGAGGUGCGAAAGCGUGGGGAGCAAACA